Alligator mississippiensis (American alligator) is the source of this 46-nucleotide non-coding RNA. The record is from Rfam. NCBI's taxonomy places the organism in Eukaryota, Metazoa, Chordata, Crocodylia, Alligatoridae.
AAAUAGGAUUUUUUAAAAUCCAAACAGAUUUAUUAAAAUGUUAAGU